AACCCCAUCCAUCAUUCAAUCCCAAGUAAACCAGCAAGAAAUCCGCAACUAUCUAUGGAAACCUUGUAUCUCUACCUUCCACUUUUCCUAGCAUUAUACAUCUUCACCAAGCACUUCCUCAACAAAAUCCGAAACCUUCCACCUAGUCCCAUCCUUAAUCUCCCCGUCCUCGGCCACCUCCUCCUCAUCAAGAAGCCUCUUCACCGAGGCCUAGCCAAGAUUUCCGACCGUCAUGGCCCGGUCCUCCUCCUGGAAUUCGGCUCACGCCCAGUCCUCCUUGUCUCCUCCGCUUCUGCAGCCGAAGAAUGCCUCAACAAGCACGACAUCGUUUUCGCCAACCGCCCGCGUCUGCUGGCUGGAAAACAUCUGGGAUACAAUUAUACCUCAAUGGCAUGGACGUCCUACGGGGAUCACUGGAGAAAUCUACGGCGGAUAGCUUCACUGGAGAUCUUGUCUUCCCACAGGCUUCAAACGCUUCACGGGAUACGUGUUGAUGAAGUAAAAUUGAUGCUGAAAAGGCUGUUUUCAGCUUCAGAAAACAAGAAAAGCGUGGAUAUGAGGGCCCUUUUCUUUGAGCUGAUGUUGAACGUGAUGAUGAGGAUGAUUGCUGGGAAGAGGUAUUAUGGGGAGAAUGUUGGGGAAGUUGAGGAGGCUAGGAGGUUUAGGGAGAUUGUAGAGGAGACGAUGAUAAUUGGUGGAGCUUCGAAUAUGGGAGAUUUCUGGCCGGUUUUGAGGUGGUUAAAAGUGGGAAAGAAGGAGAAGGCCUUGAGGGUUUUGCAGGAGAAUAGGGAUCAAUUCGUGCAGGAGUUGAUCAAGGGGUUUAGGAGUGCAAAAGAUGCAGAAAAUGGUGGCGGCGAUGCAGAGGAAACAGGGGAAAAGAAGAAAACGUUGAUUGAAGUUUUGUUGACCCUGCAACAGAAGGAGCCUGAGUAUUACAAGGAUGAAAUCAUUAGAAGCCUUAUGCUGGUAUGGUUACUCUGAUAAAUUUCUUUCUGGCUCUUCUUCUUCUUAUUAAUGUAGCUAAUUUGUUAUCAUUUCUAUGUUCCCUAGAAAAUGUCAAACUUCGAUUAAGGACAAAUUAAUAGAAAUUGAAAGUAAUUCGAAGAUUAAGUGACUAAAUCUAGAUGGCCAAAAUUUGCUUUCUUUGAGUAUAAAAUAUAAGCUUACUUCAGUUGUCGUACAGUAAUUCGAUUGCUUCCAUUAUUGUGCAAAGUUAUGAUGAAUAAGAAAAAUUCACUGGUACAGUUCAAGAAUAGAGUUGACCGCACGGUGUGAACAGGAGUAGAUCCCAACGUAUUGGGCGGGGGGCCCACUUUUCUUCGGUGUUGGCAUUUGACAGUGAAGCAGAAAGAAAGUAUGAUGUCUAGCCAACCGAUGUCUAAAGUUGGUUGACUAGAUUUUAGAAGCAAAUGUCACUGAUCAUGCUCUUCAUUCUACCGUUUACCACUUUCUUCUUCUUUUCUCAAGUGCAUUUCACCAUUGACCGCUUUCGUAUUGCAGGUUUUACUAGCAGCAGGUACCGAUACAUCAGUGGGAACAAUGGAGUGGGCAUUGUCACUAAUGCUAAACAAUCCAUCAACUUUGGAGAAGGCAAAAGCAGAAAUUGACAGAAUCAUAGGAAAAGAACGUUUAUUAGAUGAAUCAGAUGUGGCUAAUCUACCCUAUCUCCGGUGCAUAAUUAGUGAAACAUUGAGGAUGUUUCCAGCAGGGCCUAUAAUGCUACCCCACGAAUCCUCCGAGGAAUGUGUGGUUGGGGGUUACCGUGUGCCUGGGGGGACAAUGUUGAUUGUCAAUUUGUGGGCUAUCCAAAAUGAUUCCAAGAAUUGGGAGGAUCCAAGAAAAUUCAAGCCUGAAAGAUUUGAAGGGCUUGAAGGGACCAGAGAUGGCUACAAAUUAAUGCCAUUUGGUUCUGGUAGAAGAGGUUGUCCUGGGGAGGGAUUGGCCAUGCGCAUGGUUGGAUUUGCUUUGGGAUCAAUUAUUCAGUGCUUUGAUUGGAGCAGAAUCAGUGAGGAGAUGGUAGAUUUGGCUGAGGGGCCUGGACUGACUCUGCCUAAGGCUCAACACUUAGUCGCCAAUUGUCGAGCACGACCUGGAAUCAUGAGCCUUCUUUCUCAAAUUUAGACUGCGACGAGGAUGUAUCUUGACUCUUGAGAAAGGGUGGGCAGUAUUUGCCUCGUCUCUUCUUCUUGUUUGAAGAAAAAAUAUGUACUAGUAAAAAAAAAAAAGUCUUGUUUUAUAUAUUUCACUUGUUUCUUUAAGGGAAAAAAUGACGGAGUAAUUUACUUUAUAGUAGUUGCUAUUUGAUGACGCUAAUUUUUGAAUUUCCUUGUUUUAAGUUGGAAUUUUCACAGCACAAUAAUUAUACCUUGCAACUCCUAACUGAAAACAACUCAAACCAUAUAUUUAUUCAUUCUCCUAAUGUCCACACUAAGCAAUAUCUUAGUUGGCAACUUCUUGAUCCGAAAGUUUUCUUUAGUGUUGAUAAUCAAUGAGAGAUAAAAAAAAAUGAGUAUCUAAAAAUAUAAAGGUCUAUCUAUUUGGACAACCGUUCUUAAGACAUAUUUCAGAUAAAAAAAUACAAGAUUAAUUAGAAUAAAUAAAUAUAAAGAGGGGCAGGAAAGAUUAAAUAGACAAACAUAUAUAAGUACAAGGAAGGAUAAUAAUUGUAGUAAAUGUGUGUGUAUAUAUAUAUAUAUAAUAAAUUAGAUAAAUUUUAAAUGUAUUAACGAGUGUCUAGUAAACACCCGAAAAAAUCCAAAAUAUGACGAUUUUUUUCCGUAAGAAAACUCGAAUAUGAGACGUCUCAGUUGCACUUCGUCCCUAGAAACGCCCAACCAAUAUCCCUUCCCUUCUAAAGGCCGCUGCCGCUAGUGCUGAUGACCAGGGCAUGGUCGAUAUGAAAUCAGCCUUCUUCGAACUCACACUGAACAUUAUGAUUAGGAUGAUUGCUGGAAAACGGUAUUCUGGUGAUGGCUCAGGAAAAAUAGGGGGAGUCGCGAGCUUUCAAGAGAUGGUUAAAGAGAGUGUUAAAGUCAGCGGAUCAACAAAUGCUGCAGAUUUUGUUCCGCUACUGAGGUGGAUAGGGCAAAAUAAGCUUGAAAGUCAUCUGAAAACGUUGCAGAUGAAGAGGGAAAAGUUCCUACAAGAUUUGAUUGAAAAGCACGGAAGCAUCACCAGUCAUCGUGAGAACAAGACACUGAUUGAUGUUCUCUUAUCUCACCCAGAGACAGAACCAGAGUACCAUACGGAUCAAAUCAUCAGAGGCUUGGUUCAGGUGAGUCAAGUUUUAAGGAGAAUAGUAGAUCGGUCCCUCGAAAGUGCCAACAUUCCAUAAAAUCAAGUAUAUUAACAACCUAAGAGAAUCCACCUCAAGCGCUAGCUAGCUGUCAUACUUGAAGGGUAGGAUCAUAAGUUCAUAGCAUUAACUUCCCUGCUUUUUCAGCUUUUAACAAUCAGUCAAGAUAACUCAAAAGCAUGUAUCAUGUGUUAUCCGGUAUUGAUAGAGAUAAUAAAUCAAAUUUCGUCUAAUCUUAAUAGCUGAUAAUGUUAUCGGCGGGAAGUGACGCAACAUCUGGAACUAUGGAAUGGGCACUGUCAGUUCUGCGGAACAACCCAGAGGCUUUAAAGAAAGCACAAGAAGAAAUAGACUUUCAAAUAGGCCAAUCAAGGCUGAUAACUGACUCCGACCUUGGCCAGCUUCCUUACCUUCAAGCAAUAAUAAACGAAACCUUUCGUAUGUAUCCUGUGUCCCCUUUUAUCUCCCUGCAUGAAUCAUCCGAAGAAUGUACAGUUGAAGGCUUUGGUAUCCCUCGUGGGACAUUGCUCCUAGUGAACCUUUGGGCUAUUAAUUAUGAUCCUGAAAUAUGGGAAGAACCCACAAAAUUCAAACCUGAAAGGUUCAUGAACUUGGAAGAUCAGAGAUAGAGAUUCGAGUUUAUGCCAUUCGGGCUUGGCCGAAGAGGAUGUCCUGGAGAAAAUUUUGCUCGACGAGUUGUGGGGUUGGCAUUGGGUUCACUUAUUCAAUGCUUUGAGUGGGAAAGACCUGGGGAAGAAUUGGUGGACAUGAGUGAAGGAGCUGGGCAUACUAUGCCUAGAGCUCAACCGCUGCUGGCAAAGUAUAGGCCACCCCCUGAAAUGGUUAAGCUUCUUUGAGUUGUGAUCUGAGUGUUUGACAAUGUUUUCUUCCUACAACACCUAGACGACUGUGGAGAAACAAGUGAACAAGAAAACAGAGGAUGUCUCUCUGUACGUGUUUGUUUUAACUUUUAAUACUACUAUUUUAUCUCUUUCAACUUCGCUUUGUGUUGCUGCAAGAAAGUAUAAAAAAGCAAAGGGUUUACUCUAGUUUCUUGCUUUCUCCAAAGAUCCAGCAUUUUCAUGUGUGUUUCUAUUAUUUGUUAACCAAUGGUUCAGAAUUCAAUCGACGGAGAAGCAAAAUUUUGCCAAGCAUGAGAAAUUCCCAAAAUUCUGAUCAAAUUUAAAUUAUUUGUAAGAUGCUUUUGGUUGCAUGUUGUACUUUAGAGGGUCCUCACGUUCUGUAAUUUAGAGCUUUCUUGCAUUCUAUAACUGCGAGGUAAGGUAAGCAAAAUUUAAAUUGCCCCCAGGGCAUAUGGCGUAGCGGUUGAGGGGUCGGUCUUGAGUUGUUGACUUCUUCACUGAUUGGGGUUCGAUUUGUACCCGCUACGCUGCACAUCCUGACUCACCCGGGAAAACUGUAUGGAGCUAUCGGCUUCCCUCCAAUUUGGUAUGCCGGCUCGGGUCCAAAGGGUUCGGAUCGGGGCAUGUUCCGAAUUACCAAAAAAAAACUUAAAUUUUGAUCAAGUUUAUCUGCUUUGGAAAAACCCCAUUCAACAGGAGGUUGCCCACUGCAAAAAAGCACCCCUAUUGUACAAUUUUUCAAACAUCAUCAAAAUCUUGUUUUUGAGGUUUCAAAGCCGCUAAAUUGAACAUUAGCUCUGAAUCGGAUAAUUAUGUUCAAUGGUGAUGUUUUGCUGAUAAUUACUCUUUAGUUAGUCCAGUGCGCAUGUACGCAUAGUCCAUUCGAUGCCCGUGGGAAACAGGUGUUACAAGGUCCAUGCAUUUUUCAACCAAAGAUAAGUCAAAGAGCGAAUUGCGCGAAAUGUCACUAAACUAUUUCAAAGUGCCGGUUCUGAUCAUUAAACUUUUUUAUUAGCGCGAAAUGUCACUGAACUAGUAAAUCUAUACCGUUUUGGUCACUCCGUGUAUUUGUGCCGUUAGGAGAGACGGAAAUUAACUUUUUGAGGGGUAAUUUCGUCUACACAAUAGUUAAAAAAUUUAUGCCUUCAUUCUUCUUCACCCACAACCAUAGUGCUAUACCAUAUUUACAUUCCCAGCCUUCCCGUACGCAUCAAUCAUCACAGAAUAGGUAACCUCAUCCGGUUCACACCCAAAAGACGGCAUUUUUUCGAACCACUGGACGGCUUUCUCAGGUAAAGAAGACAGCCUGGCGCAGCUAAUUAUGGUGGAAAGGAGGAGUAUUGGACCAGCAAUCAAAGAAUCAAGAGAUGAAUUCGCUGAAGAAGGGUUCUUUUCGUCCUCUGGGGCUGCUGCUUGGCCUUGUACCUGUCCCAUAUCUCAUCGAGAUUGGAUGCUACGGAGAUGAAGUAAGAGGAAAAGGCAACAGCAGCAACCAAAAAAUUGGGAUGGACGAGAAUUUUGAAGUUGGAGUUGGGGUUGGGUGCUAUCUGCAACCCAUGUAAAGUUGUGGAGUGAUUUGCGAUUAAUCUGUUAAAUGUUAUUGUGCCAACUGCCAACAGAAUUGGAAUGGACAUCAAAGUCCAGUGUAGGCCGACGACGGACGGAGCUCUCUAUGCCCACCCACUUCUGCAACAAAACCACCGAACUUUACAUUUAAUUUCUCAUUCUUUUCACUCUUUCCGCAUCGUCAUUUUCGCCACUCCCAACCCCAGAGGUAUGUAAAGGUGACAUUAUCGGGCUUAACUCCUCUCUCAAUCAUAUCCGUAAACAAUUUCUCGGCUCUGUCCAAGUCUCUACAUUUUCUAAACACCUUGAAGGUAACAUUAUACAAAAUCACUUCUUUCUUCAACUUAAGCCUUUCCAGAAAGUAACUCAGCACCAAAGGCGCAGUUUCAGAGUUGGACAUGUUAUUGAGCACAACGGCAGCAUCUUGCUCUACAACUUUGCCACCCAAAUUAGCCAAAAUACUAAUAACGUCAGCUUCUACAGGGUCACACGAGUCCAAUUGUUGGGAAGCUUGGACUAAAGAAGCAUACCUGAAAUCGUAGGAAUUGCGCCUGAGCUUUGAUGCCCUGGAGCUGUUGGGGUUGACCCAGAUAUAGCUUUUUGAGGAAGAAGAGAUGGUUUUAGCAUCUGGGCGGUGAGGAAUUUGGGAAAUUGAGGGGGAUUGUUGUUGGGAAGCCGGUAUAGAGAGGGAAGGUUUUGGAUGGGGCUUGAGAGGAGGAAAAGCGAGGGCGUUAUGGGGGAUGAUUCUGAGUUGGUGGAGGUGAGUGGGAUAAAGAGAGUUACAGAAGAGGUGUGGGUGGCGAGAGAGAUGAGACGGCGAAUAGGCGGCGGCCACCAUUCUUCUCUCUACUCUUCUUCCUUCCUUCUCAGUCGUCACUCACUCAGCAGAGCAGUCAGCAGCAUUUGAAUUUUCUUCUUUUUUACAACUAUGAAAAAUUUCGCCUGCAUUUUUUGGUUGAAGUUUGAUGGUGCCGCCAUUCAGAUCAGCCAUCUCCUUUAUGUCUUUGCCGGAUACGGAACCAUUGAUUAUGUAAAAGCUUCAAGAAAAAGGCUGUGCUGACAAAUUUGCCCCUCAAAAAGUUGAUUUCCGUCUCUCCUAACGGCACAAAUACACGGAGUGACUAAAACGGUAUAGAUUUACUAGUUCAGUGACAUUUCGCGCUAAUAAAAAAGUUUAGUGACCAGAACCGGCACUUUGAAAUAGCUUAGUGACAUUUCGCGCAAUUCGCUCUAAGUCAAAAAAAUAUUUGUCUGCGGAGCGGAACUCCAUUUUCAUAUAAAAAAAAAUGCUGAAAGUCGCCAUAUCUGUUUCAGUACUACCACUCUACCAGUUCCAUCUGACAGCUCACGACCGCAAGGGGGGGAAAAAAGACAAAUAAAAACAAGGAUCUAUGUCAAUCGCAUGUUAUAUGAAAUCUUAACACAAGAUUUAAGAUUGCAAGAUAUCAGCUGAUACAAGGUGGCCUAAGCUGAAGGCGUCUUGCUCCCUAGAAGCUAUAUCACUGAAACAGCAGGGAAUUGUUUAGAAUAUUACAUUGGAUAAGCAUUUUUUUUUUUUUUUGGUAAAUAAAGAUGCAUUAAAAAUAAAUCAAGUCAACAGAGUGCAAAUUAAGGUACAGUCAUCCGUGGGGUGGAAACCCCCUUUAAGUCUUGCAAAAGUAAGGGAAGUACAAAAUUAGGACAUAAUUCAAAAAAAGUGAAGUCUUGAGUGUUGCUUCUUCCCCAGUUGGCAAGGAUGUCUGCACAUUUGUUUGCUUCUCUAUAAUUAUGGUGAAAACAUACUUUCUGGAAUGUAGUCAAUAGCUCCCUGCAAUCAAGAAUAAUAGGUGCAAGUUCAUGAGAAAUAAGAUUAUUUGACUUACACAAGGAGAAUAUAAAGGCAGAGUCCAUCUCCACUUCGAGAGAGUGGAUGUUGAGUUUUUUUGCAAGUUGUAAGCCUUCUCUAAGAGCCCAACAUUCAGCAGAAGGAACUGAACAGAAGCCUAAAUUUCUUGCAAAGCCCGCAAUCCAUAUCCCAUUUGAGUCACGAAUAAUGCCGCCAGCUCCUGCCUGGUUUGUUGGUCCAGAGACUGAACCAUCAGUGUUGAGCUUGGCGAAACCUAUAGCAGGGGGGAUCCAUCUGAUGAAUUUUUCUUGUCUAGGGGAUCUGGAGAAGUGAGAACCAGGCCCUAGUAGGCUUCUGUUCCAGAUGCACGCCUCCGAGCAAGGAUGUAAAUGAAUCUAACCAAACUGAACACCCUAGUAUUCAAGUUUAUUUGAUUAUUUUAACAAGUUUGUAAUUUUAUUCAAAUUUAAUUUAUUUAUUUAUCGAACCAAGUUUGUUUGAUUAUUUUACCGAAUUUGAACGAGCUAUUUAUUGAAGAGUGUGUUUGGAUAGGAGAUUAUUUGAAAUAUUAUUUAGAAUAAUUACUGUAGCACUUUUUGUAAUGUAAUGUAUGUAAAAUAAAAAGAUGAUUGAGAAGAUAAAAAGAUGUGUUGGAAAUUGUAUUUGUGAUGUAAGCAAAUAAUUUCUAGCCAUUAUUUGGCUAUCCAAACACACUGAAUAUAAAACGAUAUUCAAUCUUAAUUUGACUAGUUAGCAAAUCAAACUCGAAUGAACUCAAACCAAACUGAACUCGAUUCAAAUAUCAAGUAGAUUGAUUUAUCUUUCAACAUUUCGGAGUUGUUAUCCAUGUGUUUGAGAAUGUCAUCCUCCUGUAUUGUGUUUUGGUUUUUCAAGUCCCGAACGAUGUUUUUUUGUUGCAGCAAAGGAGGAAAGUUUUAGAGAGCUUAGGAUAUUACAAUAAAAUAGCAGUCAGGAGUAGCGAAGGAGGAAACAUAUGAUUCAGCCGAAAGGGGAACGAAAAGAAGAAGAAGAAGAAGAAGAAGAAGAGGAGAAGUUAUGGUUUUAAUUUAUUUGAAGAAUUGCCAUAUAUAUAUAUAUAUAUAUAUAUAUGUAUUUUAGGUAAAAGAAGAUUAUAUACUAGUAGUAGUUUGGAAAAAUAAGGAAUGCGAUCAUAAUAAGUAAAUGCAAAAAAGUUUGCCGUAAACUCCUUUGAGUGUUUGUAGUUGUCAAAGCUCUUUGUCAGGCUGCCCCCAGUGGUUCGAAAAUGUGCUGAGGACCUCUUUUGAACUAAUUUGUUACAUGGAUGGAAACCAUACGCACACCAAAAGAUUAGAAAUUUUCAUGCUAUCCCUUGUUUCUACAUUUAAUAAUAAUAAUAAAAAAAAGUGGAUGAGGCGUUGAUCUACAAAGUUGAGGUUUUAGAAUUUGGAGAUCUUGAAUUCAAUACUUAUCAAAGUGUGAGUCUCUAAACUUUGUGUUAGUAUUUAUCCCACCAUAUGUAUGUAGAUUAGUUGUAGUUCGAAAUAUUUGUAAUCUCUUAUAUUAGUCCUAUAGUUGUAGAUUAUACACGAUAUUAUCGAAGAAAAUAUUUAAAGAAGAAAAAAAAUGCAAUCUUAGUGCCCGAUAUGUAAAAUUGGUAACCACGAAACAAAUCUUGAUGAAUCCACGAAAUUCACCAUGAUCCCAAUAUAUGGGAAGAACCCACGAAAUUUAAGCCUGAAACGUUUGGGGGAUUCGUGUUUAUGGCAUUUGGGUAUGGUCAAAGAGCAUGUCUUGGUGAAAAUUUAGCUAGACAAGUUGUGAGGUUGGCAUUGGGCUCACUCAUUCAAUGCCUUAAUUGGGAAAGAAUUGGUGGAAAUGAGCGAAGGAGCUGGGUUUACUAUGCCAAGAGUUCAACCGCUGCUGGCAAAGUACAGGCCGCGCCCAGAAAUGGCUUCUUUCUGAGUUGUGAUCCUGGUGUUUUGGGAAUGUUCUUUGCCACCUGCACCACUGGGGAAUCGACUGUACGAGGAAAACAGAGGAUUUCCCACUGUAGUGCGUGCGUACCACGUUGGCUUACCACUACUUUUUAUAUUUUACCUUCACUUGGUCCAUAAUUUUUGCAGCUCAAGGAUGUGAAAAAGUCCGUGCCGUCCUGAUUCCAUUGUAAUGUAAGCUGGUCAAAGCUACAAGCCGGUUAUAUACGACGCUACUCCAAGAAAGGAGAAAAAUAUAAGCAAAGCAAGGAGGCCGUAAAGGAUGGAUAUCAGUAGCAGAUCAUUGACAGAUAAGAUACUAAUAUUCAAGAAUGAGAGGGCCGUAUCCCUUACGUCAAAGGAGUUUUGAAUCUUGAUUACUGAUACAUUCUUGAAAUAACAAUAAUGAAUUACUAGAUAAAAUAGGCAUACGGCAUAAGUAUCAUUCCAACACUUUGGAUUUAACCUCGAUCUCUAUGGAUGCUUCAUACUGCUACCUCCUGCUUUUUCCCUUCCUGUAUUUACUUACCAAUCAAAUCAUCAAAAAGUUCCGGAAUCUCCCACCAAGUCCACCUCUUUCCUUACCCAUAAUUGGCCAUCUUCAUCUCAUCCAGAAACCACUCCACCGAGGACUAGCUAAGAUCUCCGAUAAAUAUGGUCCAAUACAGUUUCUUCAUUUUGGUUCUCGGCCUGUCCUGCUUGUAUCUUCACCCUCAGCUGCAGAAGAAUGCUUCACCAAGAAUGACAUAAUCUUCGCUAAUCGGCCAAGAUUUCUCGCCGGAAAACACCUUGGCUACAACUAUACAACUCUGGGAUGGGUCUCAUAUGGCCAACACUGGCGCAACUUGAGAAGAAUAGCUACUGUGGAGAUCUUAUCUGCUACCCGAAUUCAAGCUUACACGAGCAUCCGUGUUAACGAGGUCCAUUCAUUGAUCAAGUACCUUCUAAUGGCCUCUAAAGCUAGUGACUCUAGCACGGUUGAGAUGAAAUCGGCCUUCUUUGGGCUGACACUUAACAUCAUGAUGAGGAUGAUUGCAGGAAAGCGAUACUACGGCGAUGAUGCCCAGAACAAGGAGGAAGCCGCAAGGUUCAAAGAGAUAGUUAAAGAGACUUUUCAACUCAGUGGGGCGACAAACAUAGCAGAUUAUAUUCCAUUAUUGAAGUUUUUUGGGCAACAGAAGCUUGAAAGCAAGCUGAAGACUUUGCAGGCGAAGAGGGAUCAAUUCUUGCAAGAUUUGAUUGAAGAACACAGAAGAACCGUGAGGAGUUCCGACAGUGAGAAGGGCAACAAAACAAUGAUAGACGUUCUCUUGUCCCUCCAACAGACCGAGUCCGAAUACUACACAGAUGAGAUCGUCAAAGGUAUGAUUGUGGUAAGUAACUAUUUAAUCCUCUCGAUAUCUUAAUCCAUCCGUCUGUUAAGCAUACAGAAAUUCUGAUCUUUGUCUGGGAUCAGUCCCAUGAAGGAUUGAGUCUGAAAAUCUAAGUCAAAGCUAGUUUGAUUGCACUAGUACCAUCUCCGUGUUGCCUUGCAUUUUUUAUUGAGCUGUAAUGCUAUGUUUCCUACACGUAACAAUUCUAGGGAUAAUUUCAGAAACCUCCCCUGAGAUUUCUAACAGUUUCACUGCCCUUCUCCGAGGUUUCUAAAAUAUCAGAAACCUCCCCUACUAGGUCAUUGGGGUCCAAUUGUCACAUCAAUCAUGGAAGAAUGACUUAAUUACCCAUACAACUUAAGAGGUAUUUCCCAAUUAUGUUCACAUGAUUAGUUAAACUGUUAUUAACUAGAUUUAACAGAAAUGAUGACAAUUUAUAAGUUUUUUUAAAAAAUUUCUAACAUGCCAUUACAAAAAGGGGGCCAUAUAUAGGCACCUUUCUAUGAUUGAUAAUUGAUGUAUGCGAGUAGAAGCAAUGAUUCAAACUUUAGUGUUUUUUGUGGAAUAAGAGAAAUAGAGCUUCUUUAGGUAUAUCUAAGGAUUUAGGAGAUUUGAAAAGGAGAUUUGCUCUUAAAUUUUUUUCAAAAUUUUGGUGAUUGUGAAAAUUUCAAGAUCAGCCUCUAAGAUUUUUCUGCUAUUAAAUUUUGGAAAUUUUUAUUAUUUGAUUGCAGUUGUUAAGGUAAUUCUUGAUGGUGAUGCUUAAUAGUGACCCUACAAGUGAAAAAGAAUAGUUUGGAUCAAACAAAAAAAGGAAAAUAUGAUUUUAUGUAGUUUGUAUUAUGUUCGGUAUGAUCUGCUCCAUUUGAUGAUUGGUAUUUAAUUAUAGUGUUUUUUCUUUUUUAUCCUAAUUAUUACUUUUAUUGUCAUCGAAAUUAGGUGCUGGUUUUGUAUGAAAUAUACGUAAAGAUUGUUGGUUGUAUGCUACUAAAUUGAAAAACCUUUUAAUUAUGACAAUUUUUUUCUUGUUUGUGAUUAUUCAACAAAUGUUUUUUUUUAAAUCGAAAUGUUGGUUGUAAUAGGAUUCACAUGCUUUGUUUCUCUUGUAGGAGAUUAUGCAAUUGAUGUGUUAUAAUAGAUGUAAUAGUAUGAUAUUACACAUGCAAUAUGUAGAUAAGAUUUUGAGUUGCUAAACUUGUUGUAGAGUUAGUAAAUUGAUAUUUUGUUUACGCUCUAUGAAUACGGUAACAAUUACACCGUCUCAAAUUUGAUAAAGUUAAAAUAGAUAUAUAUUGUUCGUAGGAAAUUAACUAUCUAAUGCAAAACUUGAGGGUAGUUAUGGAAUUUGACAGGUGCCGAACUUGUGCAAUAAUAAUUACUAAAAAGUCCUAAUUACCAUCACAAUUAAUUAUAGAACGAAUUCAAGUACUGGAGCAGGACCCUAGGUGAGCAAUGGGUUACUUGAUUCACCAUGUUCCCAAAGAGUUUGCUUGAUCCGAUAUACCAGAAUUGUCUAUAAAAAUACUAAGUUUGCAUACAAUGGCAAGUAGGGUCGAUUCCACAAGGAACGGGUAGGAAGUUGUUUCCUUCCAAGUCAAUAGAAUAAAAAAGAGGGACAAUUAAUGGGAUGAAACUAAAAAUAAAAUAAAUAAAAUUCAAGAGCUAACUCAACAACAAUUUAGUAAAAAUAGCAAUUAAUAAAAUUCUACCCAAAUGAUUAACUGCUCAGGCACGGUCCAAUUAAAUGAUCAUCGAUGCAAAGAUAUUUCAUUCAUCUGUCAUUAGGUUGGUUAUAGCUAUCAACAAGCUUUGACAACCAGUUCUUCCUUACUUUUUCGACAGUCAAGGUACGACCAUUGACUGUUUCUCUAACCAGAAAACAACUCUAGGUACGACCGUAAGAAUUUAAUUAUCCAAUUGGAUUAAAACUAGAAGAACCCAACCCUGAUCAAUAAGCACGCUAAGAGGGUUUAUUUAAAUCAGAUCUUACGUUUCUCCAACAUAAAGCCAAUUAUGGUGGUUGUUACUAGUUGUCAACUAAACGAAUAAUUACGGAUUCAAUUUAAUUAACGUGGCAGUAGGCUAUUAUGUUAAAUCAAAUACCCGACCGUUGAUAUCCAAUUAAUAAAAUACUCAUGAACAAUUAAUUCAGGAAACGUACGAAUAGCAAUAAGUUGGAAGAAAUAAUGAAAAUUCGAUUAGAUGUUACAGAUAUUAUGAACCGUGCUUUCGCGUCGACCUUCGGGUAGAGGAGAAAUCUAGCCGCUCCUUAUCAUAUCCAUCUCGCGUGAUUUAAUUGAAACCAUUCAAUUAAUUCCCGAAAAAUUGGGAAAGAUGAAACAACGAGGAAAACGAAUAAAAGGGCUUAAGUAUCUCUUGGUCUCUGUGUUUGUACUGGAGCAAGAAAGUAAAAGUAAAGCACUAGAGAAAGUCGGCUGCCAAAAGACAAGAGCCAAGCCGCCCGUAAGAAAUUGUCUAAUAGGAAGAGACAAAAGCUACAACUAUGAAGGUCGCGUGAUUCUGGCUUCUUAAUUGCUGCCGAAGAGAAAAAAAGGAAAAGAAAACGUCUGACACUAAAAAGCAAAAGCUAAUCUAAUUACAAAGACGUAAAUCUGGCUUUUUUCCUCUCUUUUGUAGCGGCGCCAGGAGAAAUCCACGAAAGGUCAGGAGCAAAGCUUUUCUUUUUGGGGUUUUAAUCCCAUGCCUCUCGUGGUUCACGUGGACCCAACCUCCUAAUUGCUCACUUUUUGCUGCCACCAAGCUCGCGGGUCCGGCUUUAGAUAUAUCUCCUCACUUUCUGGCGUGGCACGUCAUGAAACAAAGAGUCUUUUGGAAAUUUUUCUCGCGCGAUCACUUUUAACACCAAUCACCUACAAUUGAUACAAAUAUGAAAUAUGAGCAAAUUCUCAAUUCUUAGCAUCAUGAGUAGCCAAAAUUAGGACAGAAUAAUAGUGCAAAAUAUGCCCAAUAAUUGCUCUAUCAGAAUUAAAUUGUUUUCUCUCUUCUAAUACCAAUUUUAUAUUAUUUUUGUAUUUGAAUUGGGCUGAUUGUUACUAGCUAAUUAGCUUUAGGGGUGGUUUCCGAUAUUUUGAAAACCUCAGUGAGAUUGUCAAAAACCUCAGGGGAGGUUUCUGAAAUUAUCCCAUAAUUCUAUCUACGUCUAAUACUAUUUAUACUAAGAGGGUUGCUCACGAUAAAUGUUCUAACAUUAUCAUACACCUCCUCUUAUCCCUUCAUUUGUAUUUCUAUCUUAUUUACAGAAUCAAGAUAAUAGUAUAAAAAAUUCAAUCCCAUUGUACUAUUGAAUCAUGACGUGCAGGAAAAAAGGAAGAAGUAAAGAUAAAACGAAUGAGUAGCACAGUAUUCACCUUUAAUCCAUGCUUUAGACUAGCAGAAAAUAAUGCAAAUUUUGUCAACAGCAAAUGUUAUCAGCGGGAACCGACACAUCAUCCGGAACAAUGGAAUGGGCACUCUCCCUGCUGCUCAACAAUCCACAAGUUCUAAAGAAAGCCCAGCAAGAAAUUGACGCGUACGCUGGCCAAUCAAGGCUUAUCAAUGACUCGGACUUGGGUCAGCUGCCUUAUCUUCAUGCAAUUAUUAGUGAAACACUUCGCAUUUGCCCGGUGGCCCCUAUUCUGGUGCCUCAUGUGUCAUCCCAAGAGUGUUGUGUUGGAGGCUACAAUAUCCCCGGUGGCACGUUGCUGUUAGUGAACUUAUGGGCAAUGCAAAAUGAUCCCAAGGUUUGGGAAGAACCCACAAAAUUUAGGCCUGAGAGGUUUAUAAGUUUGGAAGGGCAAAGAGAUGGAUUUGUGUUCAUGCCAUUUGGGUUUGGCCGAAGGGGAUGUCCUGGCGAAAAUUUGGCCAUGAGCGUUGUGGGGUUGACAUUGGGGUUGCUUAUUCAAUGUUUUGAGUGGGAAAGAGUUGGGGAAGAGUUGGUGGAUAUGACUGAAGGGGCAGGGCUUACCAUGCCAAGGGCUAAAGAAUUGAUGGCCAAGUGUAAACCACGGCAAGAAAUGGUCAAACUUCUUUCUCAAUCGUGAUUGGGAUUUCAGAAGUUGGUACCUCUAAGAAAAAAACCCAUCGCAGUGAUGACAACAUUGUGAACAAAGUGUGCUUGUUUUGCCAUUAUUUUUGUGAUUCUAUACCUUCUUGUAUGUGGAAUAAAGGAUUUGAUUAAAAGUUUAAAAUACGGUUAGAGACACCUUAUUUUAAUUUAGUACGUUUUAUUGUAGGAAUAGAUGCAUAUGCAUACCUUUUUAUUUUGAUAGGUGAAAAUAAAACAACAAAAAAAAGACUUACAAAUAUGUUAGAUCUUCAAUGUUCAUGAAUAAAACUCUCUCUCUUUUUUUUUCACUUUUACUUCCUUUUGGAAAAGAAUUAAAACUCUUCUUUUUUUUUUUUACAGUUUUUUAUUUGUUCAUGAUGUGGGAGGUCUAUGUUCAUUUGAAAUCAAGAGCUCACCCCAACUUUUGUAGAAACUAGAGGGGAAGUUAGUGUAGUUUACCAACAAGAUACGUGUCUACUUACUUGAAUAACCAGUAAUAAGAUUUAAGGAAGAAAAACUUGGGCUACUCCAGUUAGCAAUGCCCAAGUAUCAAAAAAUGAAGAGCCCAAAUUCAUGUGAAAAUGUAUACAUGUUCUUGGUUAAUUUCACAAUAAACUUGUAAUCCUUUUUUUUGGCAAUUCAAAUUAAAUUCCAUUUUGCCUUUGGAUAUAACCAAGAGUUAUGUCCCUUUUAAUGAAUCUAGUAUAUUUUGGAGGGCUUUACUACUUCAAAUUUUUUUUUAAAAAUUUUAUCAGUAGUAAUCAUGAAAAAUAAAUCAUUUUCAACUAUGUAGUACUGAAAGAAACAUGCGACAGAAAAGAGUGGCAUCUCCAUAUAUUUUCUGAGCGUCAAAAUAAAAUUAUAAACUUUCUACCACUAACUCUUUUAUCUAAACCAUGCAAUUUUGCGUGCAUCAAAAUAGCGUAAUUAUUCAGUUUUCGUGUAAGGAAAUGAAAAUCUUAGGACUUGCUAGGAAAAACAUGGCGGUCUGGCUUCAGUGAAAUAUUUUUGCUAGAAAAUGUCGACUAACUUACCUACCUUUUAAUUCUUAUACUCUUUUCGUCCCAUUGAAAGUGUUAUACUUUUAUUUUAGAAUGUCUCAAAAUAUUUGUUCUGUUAAUAAAGUCAAAAUAUAUUUUAGUCUCUCUCUUCAACAUAGUUCAUCUCUCUAAUCAUAUACACGUUACCAUUCAAAUUCAAAUGUUGAAUUUGUAGGAAUAAAAUUGAAAAGAGAAGCACAAACAUCACAAUCAAACCACUAUUUUUAAAAAGUUUGAUUUUUGAAACAGAACCAAAUAAUUAGGACGGAAGGAGUAUAAACUAAAAUGAAAAAGGAAGUCUAGUGAUAAUUGAACCGUCAAAUAUCAUAAACCUUUUCAUAAAAUUGCUGGCUGAUCAGUAUAGCAAGUAGAUGAUGAUGCUUGUGUAGUUGCUAUCAUCCUUAGGUAUGAAAUUUUUCAUGAAGACCCCUUAGUAAUAAGUUUCUGAAUAGCUUCCCACAAAAGUUUCCGGGAGGUAAAUUAACAAUCUUUUGCAUUACUUUGGCCCCGGAGACAUGACAAUAAUAUCUUAGACGAAAGAACUUAGCCCCGACAAAUAUCAUGAACUUAUUGACAAUAGGUGGCUUAAUUUGUAAGAAAUAAAAAAUUAUUUAAAAAUAAGAAAAAAAAAUUAUUUAACGAAAUGCAAGUAACAUCUUGAACGAUUUUUCCUUAUUAACUCACAAAGUUAAGUUCCACUGUGGUACUUGCCAAUGGAACAAAGUUGACAGCAAAUCUUGUUGGUUGAAUGAGUCUCCUGACACAGCGUAUUAAGCAAUAAGCAUUCAUUGGUAUACCCAAACCUAUUACUCUGUAUAAGUGUACGUAUCAUAUUCACCCGUACCGUACGUCUCUUUCUACAUUUAGACACUCCCAUAUUUCUAUAUUAAUUUCACUUUUGCUAAAGGAUUACUGGGUAAAGUGUAAAGCACGGCAAGAAAUGGUUAAACUUCUUUCUCAAUUGUGAUUUGUGGGACUGUUUAACUGUCAAAAUUAAUGUGAAAACGUAUGAGAAAGUAGAAUCCUCGAAAUCCUUUAUUUUUUCAAAAUUUAGUUUUUUAAAUACUAAAAAUUUUUAAAAAUACUCUAAAAAGUAAUCUAAAUUUUUUUAAUGUUUAAAAAAUAUUCCAAAAUAUAUUUUAAAAACUCUACUACUCUUAAAUAUUUCAAAAUAUUUUCUAAAAAUAUUUCAAAAUAUACUCUAAAAACUCUGCUACAGUAAAGUUUUCAAAAAAUAUCUCAAAAAACAGCUAAUCCAAACGGAGUAAUUGAUAAACCCUAAGACAUUUAGAUGGUGAAGAAAAAGUAAAAUUAACACCACUCUUUUAACUGUUGGAAUACUUUCAAGGUACUAAAUUAUACCUUCUUAGUACCACUCGAAAGAAAGAAAAACAAGCCUUGGAAAGAAAUAGUAUCUAGAAUAAAUCUACUGCACAAUUUGGGAAUUAUUCAUCAUUCGAUCAAGUGAUGAAUAAAUCAUACGCAAGUUCAUGUAUUAGCAGAUUAAUUAUUGAAUCUAUUCAUAAAUCAGAGGAUUGCGACACAAGGAAACUUGCAGAAUUGGACAACUAUAUGGUCCCGAAGAAAAGAAAUUGACUUGCUUCAAGAUUUCCACAAACUUGGAGCGGGGGGCGAGUGGUGACGGACGACUAAGGAACUCAAGAAAGUUAAAAUAGCCAAUUACGCAAAGUUUUGGAUCCAUUAGUUGAUUGACUGACUUCUAUUGCUAGCCGGUCAAUGCCCCCUUUUAUAAAUCAACAAGAACUUUUCCAUGGAAAAUGUGUCUCUCAUUUUGGCCAAAAUUUCCGAAUCAAUACCUUCAGUCUCCGGUCAAAUGAAGUCGUAACUUGAUAAGCUUACAAGACUUUCGUUUUCCUUCUAGAAAAAAAAAAAGAAUAAAAUAAUUCCCUUGCCCUUCAACAACCUCAACAAUAAGGUUCACUAUGAGAGAAAUUUUUUUUCCAUCUAACACACUUACGUUACUCCUAAUUCAUUGCAUAAAUACGUACAAUCACAGUUAUUGAACUUAGUAUAUUUUAGUAAUUUUUUAAAUUAAUUAUCUUAUUUUUAAAAAAUUAAUACCUGAGACUCUUAUUAACGAGUGUCGACUGAAUACCUGAUAUCAAACCGAUCGAUGCUGUAGAUAGAGAAUGGUUGUUUGCAUGGAAACCAAAUCUUUUUUUUUUUUUUUUUAUUUGCUCCUUCCCCUCUUAUACAACCACCAUAUGUAGAAAGUUGAGUUCUUGGAAUCCUCCAGUGACACAGGUAUGCUGGUAAGCAAAGCACUUGAAUAUCUUCCAGAAGAAAGAUAUGUCGCGCAGCCUUAAUUGACGAAGUAAUCUCGUCAACUUUUUUUUUAAAAAUUUUGUACUGUAUAGAAAUUCCCCGGAGUUGGAGGGGCAGUUGCUUCUAAUCAAAAUAUGCUUCACACUUCACGCCACACGCACACGGUUAGGACCAGAAGUCUCAUAUGCCCUUUUCGGUGCAUUUCGUCUAAAUUCUUUUGUAGCGUGAGAAUUUAUUUAUUUAUUUAUUUUUUAAAAAUGGCUACCUAUUUUUAUUGCUUAAUUAACGAUGCUUUCGGUGCGUUUGAGUUUUCAAGAAAAUGAAUUUGAAGAGUAACAAACAUUAAGAUUAUUUGAAAUAUAUUAUUUUUUUUAAAAAUACUGUAUGAGAUAAAAAGUUGAUGCACUGACAGUAUAUACACUUUUAUCAUUAUUAGAUGCAUGACACAUAAUUUGAAUUUAAAUUUGAAACUCAAAUUUUGCAUAUGUGUCGUAUAUCCAACCGUAAUAGUGUAUACAUCGUUAGUAUACAUAAGAUUUACUCUUUGAAGUUUUAAUCUAUCCUUUGGUUUCCCAUUCUCGUGACAAAAGCACAGCUGCGCGAAUCAGUAAAAUUGGACGUAGUAAUUUGCUGUAAUGUGCAAAACCGAACUUACCUCCAUUUAGGGUUCUUGUCUAUAGAUUGACCAUGUGGUUCGGCAACACUUUUAGUGCAAAAAUUUUCAGCAUGCAACAGUCGUCCAUAGCUUAAGUGAGUUAGGCGCAGCACAUUGUUUGGCCCCGUUCCAUAUGACUUCAUUUCGUUGCCAACUUUUCUUGGAGGACUGGAAUCUCAUUAAAUAGAUCCAGCACGAUUGGUCCACGACAAUUAUUUGGUUCUGCUUUGCUGUCGUGAACUUGUGCAUUGAUUCUGUGCUUUAAUUUCUCUUGAUUUGUAGAAAAUUUGCUAGUUUUUAACUGCAAGAUUUUGUUACUCCGAAGAUUUUUAAUUUUUAUGCAGGAAAAAAAAACGCACUUCCAAACUCUGGGUACAAUAUUUGAAAAAAAAAAAGGGUAGAUGACAGGUAAGCUAAGUAGUGGUUUAGUGCCACUAUUGAAAUGUAAAAACCUCCAACCCUACACUUUUCCGACCCAUGCACCGCUCCCCGUGCCCGAACCCAAGAAGAUUUGUACAAGAAAACAGAAAAACUUUGGUGGGGUCUUGCUCGCACUAAUUUGUCACGAUUAAAUGUAUUCUUGUUUAAAAAAUUCAUGCAGAUGUGUAGUGCAUUCGUCUGAUCUGGUGGUGAUUUAAUCCUCUUCGAAUUAUUCUUGAACCUCUUCAGGUCCUAUUCCUCCUCCAUACUAUAGGAAGUUAUCGUAUCGAAAAAAAAAAAACAGAAAAAUCUCAACUCAUUAGCCUUAUUUAAUUUGAUUUGAAGCAUAAUUUUCUUGAAGAAGAGGGGCCGGGCCACACUGAUUGUAUUAGAGCAUCCACAAUGCUAUUACACUUUGUGGAGUGUAAUCCACAUGCCACGUCAGCAUUCCACUUUCUCCUCUUUUAUUACACUUUCACUCACAAUGGAUUACACUCCACAAGGUGUAAUAGCAUGGGUCCACAAUUAAUCAAAUAUUUAUUUUAAUAAUGCAUAACUCAUAUCCCAUAAAUAAAUAAAGUAAUUUUUAAAACUAAUUUUGUUAUUUUUAAAAAAUAAAGUACUAACUUUCGUUAAAUUUUGUACAUUUUGAAUUUUUUUAUUUUCUAAAAAUGAUAUUAUUAAUUUUUAAGUUUGAAUAAUAUAUCUUUUUCUAUGUUUCAAAAAUAAUAUAUUGUUAUUUUUUAAAAAAUAAUUAUGUAGGAAAUUAAACAAAUAUUUGAUACUUCAAAUGCGAAGAUAUCAUAAUAAUUCAUACUUAAUUAAUAAUUCGGAAUGUAAUUAGUUGAACUCCAUAACAUAAUAUUACAUAAGUUAAAUCAAAUAAAAUACAAAUAAUAACAAAAUGAAUACUAAUUUUCAUUGUCAUUGCCUUCGAAUCGUUCCCAAAUAUGCUCGACCAAGUCUGAUCGAAGUUGAUCGAAGUCUGAUCCCAAAUAUGCUUUGUGCUGGAAUUUUAUCGUUGUCAUAGGGCCCACAUUCAAUGGAUUACACGCAUCAUACAUGUGAUGCGUGUAAUCUCCAUGACACGGCUCCAGCGGUGUAAUGGCUCCCCGUUACUGAUUACACCCCCAUUGGAGCUGCCCUUAUGUAUAGUAUAGCUCGUAAUGGUUUUAAUCUACUCAUAACAAAUUCACUCUCCCAAACUCAAAAGUCAUCUUUGUAUAUAGAAUUUAGCCAACGAUUAUAAUUGCACAUUUUAAUAGGAAGUUUCAUAGGCUGGCUGUCAAUUGCAACCUUACAAGAAAACGAGAUGAAGACCACUCAGAGUCACAAGUCCAACAAUAAAUCCACUAACUCUCAUUAAUUAAACCCCAUCCAUCAUUCAAUCCCAAAUAAACCAGCAAGAAAUCCGCAACUAUCCAUGGAAGCCUUGUGUCUCUACCUUCCACUUUUCCUAGCAUUAUACAUCUUCACCAAGCACUUCCUCAACAAAAUCCGAAACCUUCCACCUAGUCCCAUCCUUAAUCUCCCCGUCCUCGGCCACCUCCUCCUCAUCAAGAAGCCUCUUCACCGAGGCCUAGCCAAGAUUUCCAACCGUCAUGGC
RNAcentral lists this long non-coding RNA (20926 nucleotides) under Coffea arabica (coffee). RNAcentral describes it as "long non-coding RNA (CARA_LNC006727)". The record is from RNAcentral. Lineage: Eukaryota; Viridiplantae; Streptophyta; Magnoliopsida; Gentianales; Rubiaceae.